Molecule: ribosomal RNA, 519 nt
Filed under: uncultured bacterium
Lineage: Bacteria
Description: bacterial SSU rRNA
Rfam family: Bacterial small subunit ribosomal RNA
Source: RNAcentral
AACGAACACUGGCGGCGUGGUUUAGGCAUGCAAGUCGAACGUGAAAGUCCCUUCGGGGAUGAGUAAAGUGGCGAACGGGUGAGUAACGCGUGGGAAACCUUCCCUUCGAUGGGGGAUAACAGUUCUAACGAGCUGCUAAUACCGCAUACGACCCUUGGAUCGCAUGGUCCGGGGGUGAAAGGGGGCGAUCUCUUCGGAGAGCUCCCGUCGAUGGAUGGUCCCGCGUCCCAUUAGCUAGUUGGCGGGGUAAUGGCCCACCAAGGCGACGAUGGGUAGCCGGCCUGAGAGGGUGUCCGGCCACACUGGGACUGAGAUACGGCCCAGACUCCUACGGGAGGCAGCAGUCGAGAAGCUUCGGCAAUGGGCGAAAGCCUGACCGAGCGACGCCGCGUGAGCGAAGAAGGCCCUAUGGGUUGUAAAGCUCUGUCAGAUUGGGAGAAAACCUCGCGGUUAAUACCCGCGAGGCCUGACGGUACCAUCAGAGGAAGCACCGGCUAACCCCGUGCCAGCAGCCGCGGU